This 250-nucleotide ribosomal RNA is filed under the name uncultured bacterium. RNAcentral describes it as "partial 16S ribosomal RNA". It matches the Rfam family "Bacterial small subunit ribosomal RNA", at positions 524 to 773 of the family's 1533-position model. The record is from RNAcentral.
UACAGAGGGUGCGAGCGUUGUUCGGAAUUAUUGGGCGUAAAGCGCAUGUAGGCGGCCUGUUAAGUCACGUGUGAAAGCUCCCGGCUCAACCGGGAAAGUGCGCGUGAAACUGGCGGGCUUGAGUGCUGGAGAGGGUGGCGGAAUUCCCGGUGUAGAGGUGAAAUUCGUAGAUAUCGGGAGGAACACCAGAGGCGAAGGCGGCCACCUGGACAGACACUGACGCUGAGACGCGAAAGCGUGGGGAGCAAAC